CCUACGGGAGGCAGCAGUAGGGAAUAUUGCUCAAUGGGGGAAACCCUGAAGCAGCAACGCCGCGUGGAGGAUGACGGUUUUAUGAUUGUAAACUCCUUUUGUGAGAGAAGAUAAUGACGGUAUCUAUCCUGUAAUCCCCGGCUAACUCCGUGCCGGCAGCGGCGGUAAUACGGAGGGUGCAAGCGUUACCCGGAAUCACUGGGCGUAAAGAGUGCGCAGGCGGGUUUGUAAGUCAGAUGUGAAGUGCUGUAGCUUAACUACAGAACUGCAGUUGAAACUAUGAGUCUAGAGUUUAGGAGAGGUAGGUGGAAUUGGUGGUGUAGGGGUGAAAUCCGUAGAUAUCAAGAGGAAUACUGAUUGCGAAGGCGACCUGCUGGAACGUUACUGACGCUCAUGCACGAAAGCGUGGGGAGCAAACAGGAUUAGAUACCCUAGUAGUC
This 440-nucleotide ribosomal RNA is filed under the name uncultured bacterium. RNAcentral's name for it is "partial 16S ribosomal RNA". It matches the Rfam family "Bacterial small subunit ribosomal RNA", at positions 338 to 795 of the family's 1533-position model. The record is from RNAcentral.